UGCAGCUAACCAGAGCUGGAGGUGGAGGGCAUGACAGCAACACUACAUGGGAACACAGUAUACAAAGCAACUGCACAGCUAUACACUGCAACAAAGAACACUAAAUAUUUGGACUGAAUGCGCAGGAAACCGUAAUGAAAAUUAAAAUUCUAAUUGUGACGAGAAACUAGACGACUUGGUAGUCAGGAUGACGAUAGUCAACACAAUUCAAAGACGGGCUCAUGCCCUCCACCUCCAGCUGGGCUUUGUGGCAACCUUCCUUUCCCUUUUUUCUCUUGUGGGUAUAAGUGAGAUGUGAGUGGAAUGUGUGCAGGUGCAGACCACUGGAUGAUUAUCUGAGUGGUCCACCUGAAACUCAUCUACCGUCACCAUAAAAGCCAGGAUCAGACCACUACACGAUACUGUACCAUUGAACAACUCCAGUUCCAUGACCUUUCCUGCCCACGCUGUCUGCCUCCUGCCAUAUCUCCAGUCCGCCAGCCUCAUCCAACCUGGCCCUGUCCAGGUUCCCUCUCAGGAAUCUCCUCCUGGUUCCUGCACCUGCCAAGAUGACACUGGCACCACGACACAGGCCUCCUCCAUCCACAAUCCCUCACCCUCUGUCUCCGUCAGGCCAUCAGCUAAGUCGGCGCUGCGCUUUCUCUGGGAGAGAGAGAAGAGGGAGAAGAAGAUCCAGGAGAAAGAAGAGGAAGACGAGGGUCCAGGAGAAGGAGAAGAUGGAGAAGAUGAUCCUGAAAAGAGAGAAAAAGAUCCUGGAGAGGAAGAAGUUCAGUGGGAGGGCAGAGGUGCAGGGAGCAGCAUGGAGAACUAAAGAGAGGAAAAGCAGGUUAGAUAGAGCACAUGAAAAUCACACAGUGUGUAGAAGCCUUAAGACGAGACGAGUUGUGGAAAGGAGCCGAGGAUGUGCAAUUAGUGAAAUGAGAAAAGGGGCAAGUGUCUUUAAACAUAGGCUACAAUAAGUUGUGAAAAGGGGCUCAUACUCACGUGAUCAUGGCAGGGGUUUGGGUAGUUACAGAUAUUAUUUGGGAAGGCAGAGCGCACUAACAUCUUCACCUCUUCAGGAAAGACAUAGGUGGGUCUACGCAGAUUCCGGUCCUUCACACCAACCCCAUGAAGCAUCUGGACCAAAAGUGAGAAGAGGAUGAAGAGGAAAAGUCAGUAAUUCAUAGUGACUGGUAGCUGUGAAUACACAGGACUCAGGGGUAGAAUUCAAGGUUGAGGAUUCGCAGUUCAAACUGAGUCACACUGCUGUUAGAUGAGUACAGACCAGUUUCUUCCCCAGAAGAUGGUAGACCUUCUUUCGACGAGUGCGGUCACUCCUAUGGCGUUUGGCAGCGUGGAGCAGUGACGCCAUCCACACAGGAAGUCUGUAGAAAGAGGAGGAGUUACAGAUAUAGCAGAAGAAAAUAUGCACUUGGGCAUAACACAACUGAAAAAAACAAUCCCUAAGUCUGUGUCAGAUUAGUGCAGUGGUUGUAUUAGCAGCAGUUGUGCAAUUGUCAUACUCAUCUGAAAGUACCCGAAAAUAUCAUCUAAAAUAGCCACGCAAACUGAACAUGGAACUUCAGUCAUUUGCCAUGCAUGCUGCUAAAUUAAAACUCUUAAAAAUGAAAUAAAAAAUACACGGCAGAUCCAAGAAAUCAUGUAAAAUUGCUCAGCUGUUCAUUCCAGAAGAAAAUGUUUGCGUCCUCAUUAAUCGCUUCCUAGCACUGUUGGCAAACCACAAAUAAUGGGCCAUGAUCUCCUUUUCUGACACUGAUCUGUAAGUGUCACGAAAAGCCGCAGUUUCAAAAUGUGUACUGGGUUUAUGCAUAACGUUUGUGCUGAACUAGAG
Long non-coding RNA from Amphiprion ocellaris (clown anemonefish), 1834 nucleotides. Lineage: Eukaryota; Metazoa; Chordata; Actinopteri; Pomacentridae. The record is from Ensembl.